This 244-nucleotide ribosomal RNA is filed under the name uncultured bacterium. RNAcentral describes it as "partial small subunit ribosomal RNA". It matches the Rfam family "Bacterial small subunit ribosomal RNA", at positions 26 to 285 of the family's 1533-position model. The record is from RNAcentral.
AGAAUCAACGCUGGCGGCGUGCCUAACACAUGCAAGUCGCACGAGAAAGGGGAGCAAUCCCUGAGUAAAGUGGCGCACGGGUGAGUAACACGUGACUAACCUACCCUGGAGUGGGGGAUAACUGAGGGAAACCUUAGCUAAUACCGCAUAACACCUACGGGUCAAAGGAGCAAUUCGCUUUGGGAGGGGUCGCGGCCGAUUAGUUAGUUGGCGGGGUAAUGGCCCACCAAGACAGUGAUCUGUA